Molecule: ribosomal RNA, 943 nt
Filed under: Clostridioides difficile
Lineage: Bacteria; Bacillati; Bacillota; Clostridia; Peptostreptococcales; Peptostreptococcaceae
Description: partial 23S ribosomal RNA
Rfam family: Bacterial large subunit ribosomal RNA
Source: RNAcentral
AGAGAAUAGGCCCAAGCGACUGUUUACCAAAAACAUAGGUUUCUGCUAAGUCGCAAGACGAUGUAUAGGAGCUGACGCCUGCCCGGUGCUGGAAGGUUAAGGGGAUCUGUUAGAGCAAUCGAAGCAGUGAACUUAAGCCCCAGUAAACGGCGGCCGUAACUAUAACGGUCCUAAGGUAGCGAAAUUCCUUGUCGGGUAAGUUCCGACCCGCACGAAAGGCGUAACGAUUUGGGCACUGUCUCAACAACAGACUCGGUGAAAUUGUAAUUCCGGUGAAGAUGCCGGAUACCUGCGACAGGACGGAAAGACCCCAUGGAGCUUUACUGUAGCUUGACAUUGGGUCUUGGUACUACAUGUACAGGAUAGGUGGGAGGCUUUGAAACCAGGACGACAGUUUUGGCGGAGCCAUCCUUGGGAUACCACCCUUGUAGUACUGGGACUCUAACCAUAGGCCAUGAAUCUGGUCUUGGGACACUGUCAGGUGGGCAGUUUGACUGGGGCGGUCGCCUCCCAAAAGGUAACGGAGGCGCUCAAAGGUUCUCUCAGUACGGUCGGAAAUCGUACGUAGAGUGUAAAGGCAAAAGAGAGCUUGAUUGCAAGACAUACAGGUCGAGCAAGGAUGAAAAUCGGACUUAGUGAUCCGGUGGUUCUGCGUGGAAGGGCCAUCGCUCAACGGAUAAAAGCUACCCUGGGGAUAACAGGCUUAUCUCCCCCAAGAGUCCACAUCGACGGGGAGGUUUGGCACCUCGAUGUCGGCUCAUCACAUCCUGGGGCUGUAGUAGGUCCCAAGGGUUGGGCUGUUCGCCCAUUAAAGUGGUACGCGAGCUGGGUUCAGAACGUCGUGAGACAGUUCGGUCCCUAUCCGUCGCAGGCGUAGGAAAUUUGAGAAGACCUGUCCUUAGUACGAGAGGACCGGGAUGGACGUACCUCUGGUGUACCAGUU